RNAcentral lists this microRNA precursor (97 nucleotides) under Picea abies (Norway spruce). RNAcentral describes it as "miR11413b stem-loop (pab-MIR11413b)". Lineage: Eukaryota; Viridiplantae; Streptophyta; Pinopsida; Pinales; Pinaceae. The record is from miRBase by way of RNAcentral.
CAGGGUGUCUCAGAGCGGUAUCUUCCAGUUGGGAUUCUUCAAUCUUAACAACGACUUGAAGCAUCCCAAUUUGAAGAUACCGCCCUUAGAAAUCCUG